RNAcentral lists this ribosomal RNA (2885 nucleotides) under human gut metagenome. Its description in RNAcentral is "bacterial LSU rRNA". It matches the Rfam family "Bacterial large subunit ribosomal RNA". The record is from RNAcentral.
UUAAGCUACAAAGAGCGUAGGGUGAAUAGCUAGGCACCAGGAGCCGAUGAAGGACGUGAUAAGCUGCGAAAAGCUUUGGGUAGGAGCAAAUAUCCUUAGAUCCAGAGAUAUCCGAAUGAGGGAACUCACUUAAGGCAAAAAACUUAAGUAUCCAUACAUGAGUAAAGUAGUGUAUGAGAGGGGAACGUUGGGAACUGAAACAUCUUAGUACCAACAGGAAGAGAAAGAAAACAAUCGAUUCCUAGAGUAGUGGCGAGCGAAAUAGGAAGAGCCUAAACCAGAAGUAGUAAUACAUCUGGGGUUCGGACCACGAUAUACUAUCAACAAUUCUAAUAGAAAUGUUUUGGGAAAGCAUACCAUAGAAGGUGAAAGUCCGGUAUAUGAAAGGAAAGUUGAGGUUAGUGGAUUCCAGAGUAGUACGAGACACGAGAAAUCUCGUAUGAAUGAGCGGGGACCAUCCCGUAAGGCUAAAUACUACUUGGUGACCGAUAGUGAACUAGUACCGUGAGGGAAAGGUGAAAAGAACCCCGGGAGGGGAGUGAAAUAGAACAUGAAACCCUAUGUUUACAAGCAGACAAAGCACUUUAUAUGUGCGAUGUCGUACUUUUUGUAGAACGGUCCAGCGAGUUAUUGUAUAUGGCAAGGUUAAGUACUAUGUAAGGUACGGAGCCGAAGCGAAAGCGAGUCUGAAAAGGGCGAUAUAAGUCAUGCAUAAUAGACCCGAAACUGAGUGACCUAUCCAUGAGCAGGAUGAAGCUAGAGUAAAAUCUAGUGGAGGUCCGAACUGAUUGUCGUUAAAAAGGCACCGGAUGACUUGUGGAUAGCGGAGAAAUUCCAAUCGAACUCAGAGAUAGCUGGUUCUCCUCGAAAUAGCUUUAGGGCUAGCCUUGAGGUCAAGAUAUAUGGGGGUAGAGCACUGAAUGAGGUAGGGGCCUAACCAGGUUACCAAACUCUAUCAAACUCCGAAUACCAUAUGUAAAUACUCAGGAGUCAGACUGCGGGAGCUAAGUUCCGUGGUCAAAAGGAAAACAGUCCAGAUCGUCAAUUAAGGUCCCAAAGAUAUAGCUAAGUGGAAAACGAUGUGAUUUUGCAUAAACAACCAGGAUGUUGGCUCAGAAGCAGCCAUUCAUUUAAAGAGUGCGUAAUAGCUCACUGGUCGAGUGAAGUUGCGCGGAAAAUUACCGGGGCUAAGCUAUACACCGAAAUUGCGGAUUUAUACUUGAAAGACAGUAUAAGUGGUAGAGGAGCAUUCUGUUGUAGGAUGAAGCAUGACCGUAAGGACAUGUGGACGAAGCAGAAGAGAGAAUGCUGGAAUAAGUAGCGAGAGGAUGGUGAGAAUCCAUCCCGUCGAAAGUCUAAGGUUUCCUAGGGAAGGUUCGUCCGCCUAGGGUAAGUCGGGACCUAAGGAGAGGCCGAAAGGCGUAUCUGAUGGACAGCAGGUUGAAAUUCCUGCACCACGUAUAUACUUAAAAGAUACAAGGGACGCAGAAGUGAAAGAUAACCAUGGAAGAGGAAAAACAUGGCCCGCAAGGGGGAGUGAAAAUUAUAAGUAACGAAGUAUCAAGAAGCACGCUGACGAGAAAAGCUUGUAGAUAUUGUAUAUAAGUGCCCGUACCGCAAACCGACACAGGUAGAUGAGGAGAGGAUCCUAAGACGAGCGGGAGAAGCAUUGUUAAGGAACUCGGCAAAUUAACCCCGUAACUUCGGAAUAAGGGGUGCUGAUGUAACAGUCAGUCGCAGAGAAAAGGCCCAAGCAACUGUUUAACAAAAACAUAGGUUUCUGCUAAAUCGAAAGAUGAAGUAUAGGAGCUGACGCCUGCCCAGUGCUGGAAGGUUAAGGGGAAAGGUUAGAUUAUAUCAAAGCUUUGAACUGAAGCCCCAGUGAACGGCGGCCGUAACUAUAACGGUCCUAAGGUAGCGAAAUUCCUUGUCAGGUAAGUUCUGACCCGCACGAAAGGCGUAAUGAUUUGGGCACUGUCUCGACAAUGUCCCCGGCGAAAUUGUAGUACUAGUGAAGAUGCUAGUUACCUGCGAUAAGACAGAAAGACCCCAUGGAGCUUUACUGCAGUUUGAUACUGGGUUUCGAUGAUUUAUGUACAGGAUAGUUGGGAGACUAUGAAAGAGAGGCGUCAGCUUCUCCGGAGUCGUUGUUGGGAUACCAACCUUAAGUUAUUGAAAUUCUAACUUGUAAUCGUAAACCGGUUAGAGGACAAUGUCAGACGGGCAGUUUGACUGGGGCGGUCGCCUCCUAAAGAGUAACGGAGGCGCCCAAAGGUUUCCUCAGCGCGGACAGAAAUCGCGCGAAAGAGUGCAAAGGCAGAAGGAAGCUUAACUGAGAGACAGACAUGUCGACCAGAUACGAAAGUAGGGCUUAGUGAUCCGGUGGUUGUAAAUGGAAAUGCCAUCGCUCAACGGACAAAAGUUACCCUGGGGAUAACAGGCUUAUCUCCCCCAAGAGUUCACAUCGACGGGGAGGUUUGGCACCUCGAUGUCGGCUCAUCGCAUCCUGGAGCGGAAGUACGUUCCAAGGGUUGGGCUGUUCGCCCAUUAAAGCGGUACGCGAGCUGGGUUCAGAACGUCGUGAGACAGUUCGGUCCUUAUCUGUCGCAGGCGUAGGAUAUUUGAAGGGAGCUGUCCUUAGUACGAGAGGACCAGGAUGGAGAUACCGAUGGUGUAUCAGUUGUCACACCAGUGGCAUGGCUGAGUAGCUAAGUAUCGAUGGGAUAAACGCUGAAAGCAUCUAAGUGUGAAGCCCACCCUAAGAUAAGAUGUCCCAUACCGUAAGGUAGUAAGAUUCCACGUAGACUAUGUGGUUGAUAGGUUGGAGGUGUAAGUACAGUAAUGUAUUGAGCUGACCAAUACUAAUAAAUCGAGGGCUUAACCAC